UACGGAGGGUGCGAGCGUUGUCCGGAAUCACUGGGCGUAAAGGGCGCGUAGGUGGCGCGGGUAGUCAUCGGUGAAAGCUCAGGGCUCAACCCUGAGUCGGCCGGUGAUACUCCCGUGCUUGAGUGUGGUAGAGGCCAAUGGAAUUCCGGGUGUAGCGGUGGAAUGCGUAGAGAUCCGGUAGAACACCGGUGGCGAAGGCGGUUGGCUGGGCCACAACUGACACUGAUGCGCGACAGCGUGGGGAGCAAACAGG
This 253-nucleotide ribosomal RNA is filed under the name uncultured bacterium. RNAcentral describes it as "partial 16S ribosomal RNA". It matches the Rfam family "Bacterial small subunit ribosomal RNA", at positions 524 to 776 of the family's 1533-position model. The record is from RNAcentral.